CCUACGGGAGACAGCAGUGGGGAAUAUUGCACAAUGGGGGAAACCCUGCUGCAGCGACGCAGCGUGAGUGAAGAAGUAAUUCGUUAUGUACAGCUCUAUCAGCAGGGAAGAAAAUGACGGUACCUGAGUAAGAAGCACCGGCUAACUACGUGCCCGCAGCCGCGGUAAUCCGUAGGGGGAAAGCGUUAUCCGGAUUUACUGGGUGUAAAGGGAGCGUAGACGGCAGUGCAAGUCUGGAGUGAAAGGCGGGGGAGCAACCCCCGGACUGCUCUGGAAACUGUACGGCUGGAGUGCAGGAGAGGUAAGUGGAAUUCCUAGUGUAGCGGUGAAAUGCGUAGAUAUUAGGAGGAACACCAGUGGCGAAGGCGGCUUACUGGACUGUAACUGACGUUGAGGCUCGAAAGCGUGGGGAGCAAACAGGAUUAGAUACCCUAGUAGUC
This 440-nucleotide ribosomal RNA is filed under the name uncultured bacterium. Its description in RNAcentral is "partial 16S ribosomal RNA". It matches the Rfam family "Bacterial small subunit ribosomal RNA", at positions 338 to 795 of the family's 1533-position model. The record is from RNAcentral.